UAGGGAAUCUUCGGCAAUGGACGGAAGUCUGACCGAGCAACGCCGCGUGAGUGAAGAAGGUUUUCGGAUCGUAAAACUCUGUUGCCAGGGAAGAAAGGCUGAGAGAGUAACUGCUCUUAGCGUGACGGUACCUGAGAAGAAAGCCCCGGCUAACUACGUGCCAGCAGCCGCGGUAAUACGUAGGGGGCAAGCGUUGUCCGGAAUUAUUGGGCGUAAAGCGCGCGCAGGCGGUUAGGUAAGUCUGGUGUAUAAACCCAAGGCCCAACCUUGGGACGCAUUGGAAACUGGCUGACUGGAGUGUAGGAGAGGAAAGUGGAAUUCCACGUGUAGCGGUGAAAUGCGUAGAGAUGUGGAGGAACACCAGUGGCGAAGGCGACUUUCUGGCCUAUAACUGACGCUGAGGCGCGAAAGCGUGGGGAGCAAACA
This 426-nucleotide ribosomal RNA is filed under the name uncultured Paenibacillus sp. Its description in RNAcentral is "bacterial SSU rRNA". It matches the Rfam family "Bacterial small subunit ribosomal RNA", at positions 355 to 774 of the family's 1533-position model. Lineage: Bacteria; Bacillati; Bacillota; Bacilli; Caryophanales; Paenibacillaceae. The record is from RNAcentral.